Long non-coding RNA from Phyllostomus discolor (pale spear-nosed bat), 460 nucleotides. RefSeq lists it as uncharacterized. The transcript has 3 exons. Lineage: Eukaryota; Metazoa; Chordata; Mammalia; Chiroptera; Phyllostomidae. The record is from RefSeq and is a predicted model, not a curated record.
CCACCGGAAAUCAGACUCGUAACCAGAGCAUGUGCCCUGACCCGGAUUGAACACGAUUUUUCGGUCUAUGGGACAAUGCUGCAACCAACUGAGCCACCCAGCCAGGGCAUUGAGGAUUUACUGUUAGUGCUGCUUCCCUGCUGUUCAUUAGAAAAGAAAAGGAAAAAAGAGACUGGUUUUACUAGAACUCUGGAACCCAGAGCUCCCCCAGGCCAAGCUGGAAUGGGGCAAGCAUCAGUGAACAGAAGGACUAUGAUGUUUGGAGCAGAGACUAAAUGUUUGCUUCAUGAGGAGGAUGAAAAACUCUCAUUGAUGACUUUCUGCAAGAUGGAGAUCCCUAUAAUGAGUAUGAGGAAGUCCUGGGGGCCUGAGAAAUGGUGUGGUAGCUGUAGUGAAUGAUGCAGCACCGUGCCACUGAAAUUUGCUGAGAGAUCUUCACUGUUCUCACCUAAGAGAAAGG